This 418-nucleotide ribosomal RNA is filed under the name uncultured Bacteroidota bacterium. Its description in RNAcentral is "bacterial SSU rRNA". It matches the Rfam family "Bacterial small subunit ribosomal RNA", at positions 608 to 1030 of the family's 1533-position model. Lineage: Bacteria; Pseudomonadati; Bacteroidota. The record is from RNAcentral.
CUUAACUCCGGGAUUGCCUUUGAAACUAGUGGCCUUGAGUAUAGUCGAGGACGGCGGAAUGAGUUAUGUAGCGGUGAAAUGCAUAGAUAUAACUCAGAACACCGAUUGCGGAGGCAGCUGUCUAGGCUAAGACUGACGCUGAGGCACGAAAGCGUGGGGAGCGAACAGGAUUAGAUACCCUGGUAGUCCACGCUGUAAACUAUGAUCACUCGCUGUUGGCGAUAUACUGUCAGCGGCUGAGCGAAAGCAUUAAGUGAUCCACCUGGGGAGUACGUCGGCAACGAUGAAACUCAAAGGAAUUGACGGGGGCCCGCACAAGCGGAGGAACAUGUGGUUUAAUUCGAUGAUACGCGAGGAACCUUACCUGGGCUUAAAUGUAGGGUGCAUUUCCGCGAAAGCGGGAUUUCCUACGGGACCC